This 214-nucleotide non-coding RNA is filed under the name Candidatus Mycoplasma haematominutum. The record is from RNAcentral. Lineage: Bacteria; Bacillati; Mycoplasmatota; Mollicutes; Mycoplasmatales; Mycoplasmataceae.
CAUGAGGGGUUUCCGCGGUUCCUCUCGUCAUUUCUGCAGAACGUCGUCUCUGUGGCACUUGUCUAGACCAUACUUCUCUUAGGAGAUGAUAGUUCUAAUUAGAAGUUUUUUCAGCCAUCAACUAGGUUAGACUAGCUGUUAAGUUUUAUUUUUGUAUAUACUUACACAAACACUAUAGUCAUCUCAGACUGUGCAAGCGCGUGACUUUCCUCAU